UACAGAGGGUGCGAGCGUUGUCCGGAAUCACUGGGCGUAAAGGGCGCGUAGGCGGCCUUCCGCGCGUGCGGUGAAAGCCCGGGGCUCAACUCCGGGUCGGCCGUGCGGACGGGGAGCUAGAGUCUGGUAGAGGCUGAUGGAAUUCCGGGUGUAGCGGUGGAAUGCGUAGAGAUCCGGAAGAACACCGGUGGCGAAGGCGGUCAGCUGGGCCAGCAACUUCGGUUGGCCGUCGCAAGACAGGU
RNAcentral lists this ribosomal RNA (242 nucleotides) under uncultured bacterium. RNAcentral's name for it is "partial 16S ribosomal RNA". It matches the Rfam family "Bacterial small subunit ribosomal RNA", at positions 524 to 765 of the family's 1533-position model. The record is from RNAcentral.